This is a long non-coding RNA of Zingiber officinale, 885 nucleotides long. RefSeq lists it as uncharacterized. Lineage: Eukaryota; Viridiplantae; Streptophyta; Magnoliopsida; Zingiberales; Zingiberaceae. The record is from RefSeq and is a predicted model, not a curated record. The transcript has 4 exons.
UCUUCUCCUCUUCUCCUCGAUCCCCCUUCCUCACAAUUCAUCGCAUUCGCCCGAUCCAUUUGAUCGUCAAAUCCUUUCUUCUCCCCUCGGCAUCGUCGGCGGGGAUCUACCGUUAGAGCUUCGAGAGGGAGCUAGCGUCACCCGAUCCUCCUCUUCUCUGAUUUCCGCAAGCUGUAGCACCGAGCCUUUCAUCUUCUUUCCAUCACCGCACCGACUUCCUUCGUCAGAGUGAAAUCGCAGCCAUGGGCAUCAGAUCUAGACCCUCGCCGGCUGUUCAGGAGGAGUAAUAGCAACUGUACUCUCUAUCCUAUACCCGAUCUCUCUUUCCGCUUUUCACUGGAAGUAUUUUGUUGUCCUGCGGUGCUCUUGGAGAUAGUUGUUUCCCUUGGUUCCGGCCACCACAUCGCCGAUAGUUUGCAGCCAACUUCGUCACAUCCAUUGCCACUGCAAGCUUCUAAAGAGGAAGAGGUGUUACGAGCAGAUCCAUUAUUGAUCCCCCGAUGAGUUUACUAAUCAUUAUACCGUAUGAGUCGAUUCCAGAUUGGGUAAUAGAUAGAUGAUUAUAGAGUCGGUUGGAGUAUCCUGUCUACCGAUUCCACGUCACAUCCGAGGAUGGUUUCUACUUUUAUUUUCUACUUUACUUGUAUUACGCAUUUGGUGGACUUAGUAUUGUAUAAUUCAACUUUGCUUUGGAGUUUGUUAUGUGGAGUUUCCUAUUUGCUUUGUUGUGGUCAUGUAAAGCCUAGCCGGCUAGCAGUCAGUCGUUUUGGUUUAUGGGUUUUCCUUUCACUUUCCUUGUGUUUUUAGUACAGUCGUGUGGGCUGCUUAUUAUACAACUGUGUGGUUAUAUUCUUUUUACUCCAUCCAUGUGGGUUGUAUAAAUAA